CUAAAGAUGAGUGGUGAUGGUGGUUUGGAUCUGGUAUCACCCUGAAGGACUGGUUCCAAAACUGAGCUUGCUCCAGUUUCAGUUUCAACAGGUUCUCGCACUGAUGCAAUACCAUAUUCUGGGAAAUAUGAUGGGGUAGUUGGCAUGUUGGGUACAAUAGAAGCCAUCAACGUUCUAAAGCGGAACAAGUUUUUGGAUACAAAUCUGGAGAAAGUUUGUGGAGCUUCCCACACAUUCAUUUGGCAACCAAGAUACACGUGAUGCUUUGUCUGCAGCAAUCCACCA
Molecule: long non-coding RNA, 285 nt
Organism: Coffea arabica (coffee)
Lineage: Eukaryota; Viridiplantae; Streptophyta; Magnoliopsida; Gentianales; Rubiaceae
Source: RefSeq, a predicted model, not a curated record